CAGUGACAGAGGCAGGAAAUAGAGACAUAAUAGCUUCUUCCUGACGGGGGAGACAGUAAGUCACACCGGAAGCCUGAGAGUUCCUCCCUCCCCCCCCCCCCCCCAAUCUGAGCUUCCAAGUGUCUCCUGCAGAAAUCCUGGGGGGGGGUCCCCCUCCCCCCUCCUCGACCCUUUGGGGGCUUCCGGGCAAAGUCUGCUUCUCUUCCUGAGCAAACUGUUUCCUGGGCUCUAGACUGUGGCCGAUUGUGAAGGGGCAGGGCAGGUCCCCGAGAGCCUCCGCAGCCGGGGAUCAGAGGCUCUGCGGGAGCUGCGGGGCCGCCUUUGCCGACACAGGUGCUGCUUGUGGAUGGGAACGAGAUAAAUGGGAGGCAGAGGGAAGGGGAGGGAGUCAGACAAGGCCUCUCGGUCGGAGAAAGCUACGGCCUCUGGGUCUCCUUGUGUCGUCCUCUCACCGAGGGGGUCCCUUCUGGGCCGGAUCCCCAGCAGCCACUGUCAGGUCACCGGCCACAAUCCCACAGAAGUGGAGACAGCAUGGAGCUGAUUCCAGUCCCUGCCGCACUUGCUGCCCAUCCAGAAGAGCAAAUCUCCAGAGAAAUAAAUACAAGGUCACUGGCCACAGGACUCGAUCCCCCAGAAGCAGGCACAGUGUGGAGGUGAUUCCAGUCCCUGCCGCACCUGCUGCCCGUCCCCAAGCGCAAAUCCCCGGAGAAAGAAGUACAAGGGAAGCAGCUGAUCUUUUUAAUAAUAAUCCUUAACUUUGAAUAUAAUUACAUAAUUAAUAUCCCAAGUUGUACUAAUAUGUGACCAUGAUUAAAUCAGGCCUGCAGAGGACUCUCUGUCUAGGUAUCCAGGACUUAUUAUAUUCUUCUUUUAUAAACACGCUGACAUUUUAUUCAGUGAGGCUGGUGCAGUGCUGUAAGGAGCGAGUGAUGUUCCUUCUGCUCAGAGAUGCGGGUUCAGAAGCAAAAGAAUUCGCUGACCCCAGAGGCCGGGGCAAAAAUCGGAAGCUUUAUUGAGAAACCCCAAGAGCCAUUAUCUGGGCGGGCAUAUUUUCUCAAUGGAGAGAAAUCUGUAAAGAAUACGUUUCCAGAAGAACGAUUUUAUCGGAAAGUCUAGGGAUAGUUUGAUAAUACUCAAUUGAAUGUGAAGUUUUUCCUGAGACUGUGACUUCCCCAAAGAUCCAUAGGAGUUUGUUUUGCUCUUGAAUGGGACAAAUUAUCACACUCUGAGAGGAUGUGAGACCAUUUGGCAUCUAUAGAUCAAAGGGGGAUGUGGUUUUUGUGAUUUGACACAAUUUUUACAGAGUUCACGAGGGUCAUACAUAGUUCAUUCGCAUCAAGGUGACUACUGUAUUAAAGAGUCCAACUGGGAUUUGAAUCCAGCUCCUCUCCCUCCAAUGGUAGGGUUCUUAACCGUGUUCUCCAUCUCUGCCCCCGCUCUCCAUCCUGAACAAAGCUGCUCCUGAUUCCUUUCAGUCCCUGCCCAGCUUCUCUCAUGUUCAGUCUGUACCUCCUGCCUCAUUUCCCUCCCCCAGUCACCCCUGAGGGGCUUUGAUGGGACUGAAUGUUGCCCCUAGUGACAGACUCAGCCCCAGAGAAAAUACUGGAGACCAUUAGUCCAAACCCUUCAUUUGCCAGAGACCAAGGGGAUGGCGAGAUCUGCCUGAGAUAAUGAAGCUGGGGAACUUUUGAGGAAGGAUUCGAACCAAAGUCUUCCUGACUCCCUGGUUAGGGUGUGUCUGUGAGAUCCCGCUGUCUCCAAGCUCUCAUCUCACAUGGUGACUCAUCUCUCUAGAUGCCCUAAGGCUGGAAGAAUAAGGGAUCAAUUUCUUUUUGAAACUUUAAGGGAAAAAUAAUUUCCCCCAAAUACAAAGUGCCAUGUAGUUAGUGUGAACUGAAUUCUGGGGAUUUCUGCCUAUGACAUGACACUUUGUCAUGAAGGAGGCUCCUUACCUCCAGCCUGUACUGAAAGGACGAGGUGGGGAAGCAUUUACAGGACAGGGUGGACUGUGACAGAUAUCAGCAGGUUCAAUACAAUCCUCAUGCCCUCACCAAUUAUUGAAGGCUUCUGUAAGGACGAUGUCACAUAAACAGUCACAUAAAAGGUAUAAAACCUUUGCCAAAGCUAUAGAUUAGAAAUUCUGGUUCAUCUUAAGAGAAGAUCCUGGGAUACAAUGGGAACAGGGGAGGGCUGAGUCCUCUUAACAGCUAGCAACGGGCCCUGAAUAAAAUAACGUGGAUAUAUAGGAAUAUGAAGCAACAAAAGUUUAGCCACCAUGGAUUCGGUUGCAUUUUACCAAUAGUUUCUUUUUUCUUUUGAUACACUAUCUAGAUUUAAUAAUAAUCCUGUAAGUCUCAAAGGGGGACUCGGGUAACAAGGUAGCAUAUUAUCCUCAUGAUCUUGGAAUAGAUUCAAUGUGCAAGAAUUUGACAUAAAUAUAUCAUUUCUUUCUUAACCCCUCCCCAUUUUAGAGAGAGAGAGACAUAGACAUCGGAGUCCCAAGUCAAAUAAUAAAAGAGCAAACAAACAAAUUGUCUAUAAAAUCUGAAUCCAAGUUGUGACCACUUCCGAGGGGGAAAAUUUUUUCAUUUUUCAUCGUUCUGCUGUGCUGUGUGAACACAAUGACAACGAACACUGAGCACGAUGCCAUUGGUAUCUGAUUUCCUCUCUUUAAACCCCACAUAGCCAUCGAUUAUGAAUCUGCGAUAUUUAGGAAAGAGCUGGGGGGAAUUUCAGCCAAAGUGUCAUGUUCUAAGGUUAAGUUUGUGUUUGAAGGUUUUUUAAUAGAGACAUUGUACAAAACCCCCACAACAAGUGAAAAAAGCCUUUGUGUCAGAUGUAGGGACUGAAGGCCCAAACAUUUUCUUGUAUUGGAGAAUCAAAUGAACAAAAAUCACACAGACGUUUGUAUCUGUGGAAGAGCUGAGCCAACGAGGAAAUGAGGUCUGGGGCUCAAAAGUAUAAGGAACAGCUGAGUAGCUGAUGAACAGUCUCUGAGUUUGAUGCUUCUUAUUUCUUGGGUUUUAUAUUAAUUCACUUUGGGGGGAAACACCAUUUGUGGGUCCCCGUGAGCCGCCUGUCCAGCGUGGGUCUAGGCCAGAUUUAGACUCUGUAAAGUAUCAGCUGAUGUUAGCAGAGAUCCAGCCCUUCAAUGAGCCCUCUGUUGGGGGAGGAGGAGAAAAGGGAAGCCUGGGACAGCAGGACUGAGCCGCCUCCCCCUGGGUGAUCAAACUCAGCUCCUGGAGCCAAAGGGACUUGCCCCCCUUCUCCUUCCCAUUUCUCCCCACUUCUGUGCCAACAUGGACCACUUCAGCGAGUGAGAAAUUGCUCCUUACAAACAACAUUCUGCACAAGGACAGACUGAGGG
Molecule: long non-coding RNA, 3367 nt
Organism: Sarcophilus harrisii (Tasmanian devil)
Lineage: Eukaryota; Metazoa; Chordata; Mammalia; Dasyuromorphia; Dasyuridae
Source: Ensembl